GACGAACGCUGGCGGCGCGCUUAACACAUGCAAGUCGAACGGAAAGGCCUGAUUUCCCUUGUGGAUUGCGGGUACUCGAGUGGCGAACGGGUGAGUAACACGUGAGUGAUCUGCCCCCAACUUGGGUAUAAGCCUGGGAAACUGGGUCUAAUUCCCGAUAGGACUGCAGGGUGGUGCCUGUGGUGGAAAACGAUUUUCUAGUGGUUGGGGAUGAGCUCGCGGCCUAUCAGCUUGUUGGUGGGGUAAUGGCCGACCAAGGCGGCGACGGGUAGCCGGCGUGAGAGGGGGGACGGUGACAUUGGGACUGGGAUACGGCCCAGACGCCUACGGGAGGCGGCAGUUGGGAAUAAUGGAGAGUGAGCGUAAGCCUGAUGCAGCGACGCCGCGUGGGGGAUGUCGGCCUUCGGGUUGUAAACUCCUUGCGACGGCGAGGAAGCCACCUGGUUGGAAGGGUGGUGACGGUAGUGGUAGAAGAAGCACCGGCUAACUACGUG
This 494-nucleotide ribosomal RNA is filed under the name uncultured bacterium. RNAcentral's name for it is "partial 16S ribosomal RNA". It matches the Rfam family "Bacterial small subunit ribosomal RNA", at positions 28 to 507 of the family's 1533-position model. The record is from RNAcentral.